This 253-nucleotide ribosomal RNA is filed under the name uncultured bacterium. RNAcentral's name for it is "partial 16S ribosomal RNA". It matches the Rfam family "Bacterial small subunit ribosomal RNA", at positions 524 to 776 of the family's 1533-position model. The record is from RNAcentral.
UACGAAGGGGGCUAGCGUUGUUCGGAAUUACUGGGCGUACAGCGCACGUAGGCGGACUUGUAAGUCAGGGGUGAAAUCCCGGGGCUCAACCCCGGAACUGCCUUUGAUACUGCGAGUCUUGAGGUCGAGAGAGGUGAGUGGAAUUCCGAGUGUAGAGGUGAAAUUCGUAGAUAUUCGGAGGAACACCAGUGGCGAAGGCGGCUCACCGGCUCGAUACUGACGUUGAGGUGCGAAAGCGUGGGGAGCAAACAGG